UUCGAAUUUUUCUCUGCCUUGCAAGCGAGCGGCGGUAGCAGCAGCCCAUCGGCAGACACAACAGCUAGCACCACUCCACGCAAAGCAUGCAAGCACUUGUAAAACCUUUCUGACCACACGAAACGUGUAGAGCCAAAAAGGUGGAUGCAUGCAUGCACACGCAUACACCAUGCAUGCUACAGGAAGGAGUGUUUUUAUGUCAUGCAAGCAAGCUCUUUUUUUUCUUUCCAUACGCUUUUUAAGUACUAACUUUUCAUGAGUACCAAAAAUAAAUUAAGCACUUAAGUUAGCAUAUCACAAAUAUUUUCUUAGGAUUUUUCAUGCAAUUUCACCACAUCACUAAGCGCAAGAAAUAUAUGCAAAUGAGACUCAACUUAGUGGCACUAAAUAACCAUUGCA
RNAcentral lists this long non-coding RNA (399 nucleotides) under Sorghum bicolor (sorghum). Its description in RNAcentral is "long non-coding RNA (SBIC_LNC018728)". The record is from RNAcentral. Lineage: Eukaryota; Viridiplantae; Streptophyta; Magnoliopsida; Poales; Poaceae.